This 6000-nucleotide long non-coding RNA is filed under the name Fragaria vesca (wild strawberry). RNAcentral describes it as "long non-coding RNA (FVES_LNC000645)". The record is from RNAcentral. Lineage: Eukaryota; Viridiplantae; Streptophyta; Magnoliopsida; Rosales; Rosaceae.
ACAUAAGUAAAAUAUGGAUACGCGCGGUAGAAAACUUACCAAUUUUUUAUAAAGUUUGGGUCUCGAUCGUAUGAGUCAACUUUAUUUAGGUUUAAAUUUUUCUAUGGGGACCUAUAUAAUUGGUUUAUAAACGUGUCUAAAUUUCUCAUGGAUUAGUUUCGCGAGUACUCAAUGAGAUUUCCAACAUUCACGAAUCAAAAAAAUAAGUUCGGCCGGAAGAGAUAAGAGCGUUUCCGUAUGGAUAAUAGGCAUAUCGUUUGUUGACCAAUUUCGGACCUCUUACUACCACAUAUUUAUGUCGUCUGAGUCACACAAAGAAGUGGCGCCAUAAUUCGUUAAGAGCGGUGUUGGGGUAGAAAUUGAAUGAGGAUCUAGGAGCUUGUCGUUGUUGGGCUUGAUGAUCCGAUCUUCCCCUUUAGGGUUGCAGGACUAGGCCCAAAGUCUUCCUAGGAUAGACUUUGUUGUGAUGGAGAGGCUCCAAGCGUGUGUAAUAUCAAUACUGAGAGGACUUAGUAGUGUGCAUGGUGUGGGAGCUAGGAUCUUGCAAGUGUAACAGAAUACAUGCUCAUCAUGAAAAAGGUCUAAUGUGGGUGAGGGAUUGUAAAGUGUGGUGGUGGUGGUGGUGGUGUUUAGAGGUGUCUGAAGAGUGUUUGGAAGGAUGGGUAUGGUGGUGGUGAUCUAGGGUUGGUUGAGCAUGAUGAACUUGGUAAUGGUUUCUUUGACUGUAGGUGUUAUGUCUCAAUCCCACUGUAGCUUCCUUUAAAUAAAAUUGAGGUCGAAGACUGAGGGUAAAAAAAUGACCCGUGACUCUCUAAUUUUAGCAAAGGUCAGAACCCUCUUUCUCACUGUCAUCGUUCGAGCCUUAAGCUAAGAAAACGUAAAGGUGGCAGUGGUUCUGAGGCAUUCUCGAUUUCUUACCAAGCUACUUUUGGUUAACGGGUUCAAACAAGACAUGGCCUUGGGUUUGCCUUAAGCUUAUAAGGUGAAAGUUGUGGAGACAGGUCUGAUGUCACAUCCCGACCCUUAUAUUUUUACCUUAUUUACUAGCCUGAUUAUAAUAAGAAUUUUACCGUCUCCGUCAUUGAGUUAAUAGUUAAUUGGUCCCUAGAGGGGUUUCGGGGACGAUUAUAUGCAGAGGAUUAUUCGUAUGAGGNNNNNNNNNNNNNNNNNNNNACGACGACGGUAAAAAUAGUAAAUUUUAGCUAGUAAAACGUAAUUUUUAUUCGGGUAUUAUUUUUUCGGAGUGUUUUAUUUUUUUGUGGGAGUUGGGUAUAAGGGGGAGUUGGACCGGUUGGAGAGGCCCAACCCUUUUUCCCUCUCUUCUCUCCCGUUUUUCCCUUUUCUUGCCCCCCCCCCCCCCGAGUUUUCUUCCCUGCCGGAUCACCCAACCGCCGUCUGCCGUCGUCCGGCCAGCCACCGGCCGCUGCUCCACCCCAGUUCGGACCCCCAUCUCCUCCUCUCCCUCCCCGGCCUAGCCCCCGAGCCUCUAACCCGCCGGAAGAGGAGAAAACCCGCCGGAAACGCCGGGGAGCAUUUCGCCGGAACUCCCUCCUCCGGCCACCAAUCCGGGCAAGCUUGGUACGGUUUUGUAGCCCUCCAAUCCAGCAGCCUUGCCCUAAAAGGACUCACUCCCUCUUGAGCUAGGUAAGGAGAAAUUUGAGGUGGAAGUUUUAUGGUGUUUUUAGUCGAUUGCCCUAGUUAGGCUUGGAAUUGGUGUUUGUGCUAGUUAGGAAAGUUGUAGAGCAUGAUGAGAGGAUUAUUCUGUCAAAAUUUCAUAGGUUUUGGAGGUCGCCGGAAUUGGCCUCCGGCCGCCGCCGGUUAGGAGAUUUUUAGGGUUUUAAGUGUGGAAUAUUAAGAGGAGUAUAUUGAUGUGAUUUAUGGAAUUUUUGGAUGAGAUUUGGAUAGGUUUGUGAAUUUCCGAAGUUUGGUACUUUUGGCGGUUAAUUAAUGCAGAAUCCGGCCGUAGGAUUUAAGUCGUAUUUUGGGGAGGUUGUAUUUACGACUGUUGAGUAUGAUAUUUAAGUUCGGAUUGUUCCGAUUUAAGAAUAUCGAAGUUAGGCAAUGAUGAGCGUAUUUAUGGCUCUCGGGUAAUUUUGCCUAUUUUGAUUAAAUAUUGGAUUUUUGGUUGGGAAAUUAAUAUUAUAUUUGGAACAGGACGUGAGGAGGCUCGAGCAGACGAGGCCCCAGAUCGACAUCAGGCUUAGGCCUAAUUUGUGAAUGGACGUUUAUUUUAAAUAAAUGCAUGCUAUGGUUCAUGGUUGAUCAAUUAAUGUUGCGGAAAUAUUUUAACGUCAUUUUAAUUUGACGAUUUUUAUUUCUCUUGGAGAGUUACCGAAAAUGGGAUUUUCGGUGGAUAUAAAUAUAUAUUUAUGAGAGAGUAUGUAUAUAAAUGCUAGCUAGCCAUAUGUGUCUGUCCACCUUAAUGGCGUAGCAUAUAGCCGCAUUAUGGUGUGACGUGAGCGUUGGACGUAAGCGUAGUAGUCCUAUUUGAGUGUGUAAUUCAUAUAGGGGGUAUGGACACAUAUUUAUAUACCCGUUUGUCCACCUUGAUGGCGUAGUGUAGCACCGCAUUAAGACGUGACGUGAGCGUUAGACGCGAGCGUAGUAGCCCUAUAUAGACCCAUGAAUUUAUAUAGGGAGUAUGGACGAGUGUAAAUACAUACAUAUAUUAUAGAGUCUGAGAGGCUCGAUAUUUUAUGAGAUAAAAGUUUUAUCGCUUGCGGCAUGCAUUCGAUUUUUCCUUAGAAAUUAAUUUGGGGAAACAUAAAUAUUUUAUUUAUUAUUUUAUUUUUUGUCCACUCACUCUAACGUUAUUAAAUGUUUUCCCCUGGGCCCUUCGUUUUAAAUUGCCCAGUCUGCAGAGUUCGGGUUGGAUCUAGUAGGAGGCGAGGCAUAGUCACCCGCAUUUCUGCCAGUUUUCGUCAGUAGGUUACCUGUUCAACCUACUCGUGUUUUCUUGCUUCUGCUAGUGUUUAGUAGCUCUGAAUACUUUGGGAUUAUUGUAUAUUAUGUGUAGAAUUUCUGAAGGAUAAUUAUGUGAUGUUUGGAAGUGCUAAAUUAAGAGUGUAAUUUAGAAUUUUCGAGUUAGGGUUGUCCAUCUGGAAGGGAGAUUUUCUUAAUCUUUUCAGUAAAUUUUCCUUGGAGGUGGUCCCCGCACGACUUACUCCGGGUUUCAGGGUGAAAUUUGGGGUGGAUCGUGUCAUCUGAGGUGACUUGGUCUGAGGUGAUUUGUGAUGUUAGCAUCCUAUGUCUAAAGGCAUUGGGUGAUGAGAUGAUGAGAUGUGGUAUCCGUUACAUGCCUAUGCACGGGAAACUCAAAUUCAAGUUUGAUCCUCGACUCCCAAGACGUCUCGGACACUUGGCCUUUGGUCUUCAUAGGCCUGACAAAAAUCAUGUGUCCUUCCACACCACAACCCACUAAAUAAGCCCUAUUGGCCUAGUGUUUCUUGGGUCCACAUUACUGGCUGGCCGCGUGGCGUGGCAUGUCAUGAUGGAUGGUUUUCGGUGUAUACCAUCCACCAUGCUCCACGAUGCUUGUGCGCAACUAUGCUUGGCAUGUGUUGACAUAUGUGCCUGGCGUGUGUUGACACAUGCAUGAAAUAGGCGGGCAUGUGGUGGUCAUUGAAGCGUGUCCAUGAGACACCACGUGCCGUAAAGAGAGUAGGCUUAGGCAUGAACUCGCAUGGCAUGGCCUAGCUUAACUCUAAAUGGGUCUUGAGUAGAUUUGGGCACGUCAUGGCGUGGCGUGCCUCCCACGUCCUAGAUAGAUAAAAUGAGUAGGCUUGGGCAUAAAUGAGCAUGUCAUAGUAGGCUUGGGCAUAAAUGAGCAUAUCAUAGUAGGCUUGGGCAUAAACAUCAUGGCGUGGGCUUACCUCCCUCGAUAGGCUUGGGCAUAAAUGAGCAUGUCAUAGUAGGCUUGGGUAUAAAUGAGCAUGUCAUAGUAGGCUUGGGCAUAAACGAGCAUGGCAUGAGUUGGCUUGACUCCCAAAUGGGCCUUGUGUAGGCUUGGCAUGGCUUUCGUGACCUCUUCCUAUAAUUUGGACAUGUCAUGCCGUGGAUUAGAGAUUUUGUACCAAGCCCCGAGUCGCUCGAGGCAGACCAAACGACUCGGAUCCAGGCCUCAUAUCAACUCUAAGCCUGAUCGUUGACCUUAAGUCUCUAAAAAAAACAUGUUUACAUUUUUGGGUAUCAACAUUAGCCCCCUUGAUUAUGUUGCUCGUGUAAGACGAGUGACAUGAUCAAAUGAAAUGCAUCGAAGUACUUGCGCAUGGCUUGUGGACAGCGUCAAUUGCGAGAUCAUGAAUGUGUGCUUGGCAUCUUGGUGCUCGGCCGUGCCUUAGUUUGUUGAAAUUGUGGCUUGUGUGUAUGUAAAAAAGGUACAAGUCACCCAUGAUAGGGACUAAAGAUGUAAUUUAAGAAAAGUGUCGAGGGACCAAACGUGUAAUUUGAGAAAAGUACCGAGGGACCAAACGUGUAAUUUGAGGAAAGUGCCGAGGUACCAAACGUGUAAUUUAAGAAAAGUGCCGAGGGACCAAACGUGUAAUUUGAGGAAAGUACCGAGGUACCAAAUGUGUAAUUUGAGGAAAGUGCCGAGAGACCAAACAUGUAAUUUGAGGAAAGUGUCGAGGGACCAAAGGUGUAAUUUGAGAAAAGUGUCGAGGGACUAAAUGUGUAAUUUGAGGAAAGUACCGAGGGACUAAAUGUGUAAUUUGAGAAAAAUGUCAAGGGACUAAUCGUGUAAUUUGAGAAAAGUGUCGAGGGACUAAACGUGUAAUUUGAGAAAAGUGUCAAGGGACUAAUCCUGUAAUUUGAGAAAAGUGUCGAGGGACUAAACGUGUAAUUUGAGAAAAGUGUCAUGGCAUGACAUGGCAUAGAGGGACAUGAGAAAAUUCAGUCUCCUCCCCUCAAACUUUGUGUAGGAUCCAAAGAGAACAUGUAUAUGUUAAUUGAGGUAGGAAGCAUGUUACCAAGAGCAUGAUAUUUGAGAGGCUUAGGUUUGUUCUUUACAACAUGGAUAAGACACUCAUGUCUAACUUGGUGUCGGAUGACAUUUUGGUAUGGCAUGAUGUGGUGCGUGACCUUAUGUGCUUGAAUGUUCUAAUAGGGUUCCUUAUUAGGCAUCUACAAAAGCUCUUUCAUAUCAUAUUUUCCCCAAUGAGUAAAACGUCAAUUUGGCUUAGAUUAAGGAAUCUUGUGCGGUAUAGAGUAAAGUGAAGAGUGUGGCAUGCCUAGUGACUUAUUCUAUGGGAAGUUGGAAGCUUUAGAUGAGACUGCCUCUGUAACAUUGGCAGGUAAGAAAAGAGUAGGGCACAAAUCCAAAACUUUUCAUACUUACUGGUUUGGAGUCUUGAGUGAUUCUAGCAAGUACGUCCAGUAUGAGACCCGUAAUUCAAGAUUACUAUCCUUUAGGUCAAGUGAUGAUGUAUGGAUGGGAGAAUUCAUCAUAUGACAAUGAGAAUUCGAGUGUCCCAAGUAGGAAGAGGAAAACACAUCCAAAAGCGGUGGAGGACAUUGUAAAGCCCCCAGAUGUAUAGACAAAGAAGAGAAGCUAUUGGGACACAAAAUCAGACAAUGCUACCGUUGCUACGGGAAUUUCAAGUUGAUCGAUAUUGCGUGAGAUUGAUAGUGUGGGUGGGUACAUCUCCUUGGUAGCCUGUGUAACUGUGUAAGUAAAUUAACUUGCUUGUACUUGUAUCACAUUGAAUAGAUAUAUGGAAUCAUUUUGCUAAUUGCACAUGGCAUGACCCAUGUGGUGAUAUCUCAAUAUCUUUCCAUGACCUAGCUUAUGACUAUUUGAGUCAACCUCAUGCAGGCGUAGGGAAAGCUGACCUCCUUGGCUUGCUUGAUUGUAAGCCUUGAGCAAAUGCAUGCUCAUGAAGAAUAGGGAGCUUGUAAUCUUAAAGGGGCUUAUUACUCCAUUUGCUUGACUCGAAGCUUGGUUUUGCUGCUUGGAGUUAUGACUUUGCUAUGGUGCUUGGCACAUAACUUUAUUUUACUGUN